Molecule: long non-coding RNA, 2208 nt
Filed under: Homo sapiens (human)
Lineage: Eukaryota; Metazoa; Chordata; Mammalia; Primates; Hominidae
Description: HSALNT0323442
Source: RNAcentral
CGUAAAACCUCUUCAACUCAUACCUGACCUAAAACCUAAAUGCCUUAUUUUCUUCUACAAUGCCACUUGACCCCAAUACAAACUCGACAGUCAUUCCAAAUAGCCAGAAAAUGGCACUUUUGAUUUUUCCAUCCUACAAGAUCUAGAUAAUUCUUGUCGUAAAAUGGGCAAAUGGUCUGAGGUGCCUGGUGUCCAGGCAUUCUUUUACACAUUGUUCCCUCCCUAGUCUCUGUUCCCAAUGCGACUUAUCCCAAAUCUUCCUUCUUUCCCUCCUGCCUGUCCCCUCAAUCCCAACCCCAAGCGUCGCUGAGUCUUUCUAAUCUUCCUUUUCUACAGACCCAUCUGACCUCUCCCCUCCUCCCCAGGCUGCUCCUCGCCAGGCUGAGCCAGGUCCCAAUUCUUCCUUAGCCUCUGCUCCCCAACCCUAUAAUCCUUUUAUCACCUCCCCUCCUCACACCCGGUCUGGCUUACAGUUUCGUUCCGUGACUAGCCCUCCCCAACCUGCCCAGCAAUUUCCUCUUAAACAGGUGGCUGGAGCUAAAGGCAUAGUCAAGGUUAAUGCUCCUUUUUCUUUAUCUGACCCCUCCCAAAAUCAGUUAGCGUUUAGGCUCUUUUUCGUCGAAUAUAAAAACCCAGCCCAGUUUUUGGCUUGUUUGGCAGCAACCCUGAGACGCUUUACAGCCCUAGACCCUGAAAGGUCAGAAGGCCGUCUUAUUCUUAAUAUGCAUUUUAUUUUAUUACCUAAUCUGCUCCUGACAUUAAAUAAAACUCCAAAAAUUAAAUUCUGGCCCUCAAACCCCACAACAGGACUUAAUUAACCUCACCUUUAAGGUGUACAAUAAUAGAGUAGAGGCAGCCAAGUAGCAAUGUAUUUCUGAGUUGCAAUUCCUUCCCUCCACUGUGAGACAAACCCCAGCCACAUCUCCAGCACACAAGAACUUCCAAACGCCUAAACCGCAGCAGGCAGGCAUUCCUCCAGGCCCACCUCCUCCAGGAGCUUGCUACAAGUGCUGGAUAUCUGGCCACUGGGCCAAGGAAUGCCCGCAGCCCAGGAUUCCUCCUAAGCCAUGUCCCAUCUGUGCAGGACCCCACUGAAAAUCGGACUGUUCAACUCACCUGGCAGCCACUCCCAGAGCCCCUGGAACUCUGGCCCAAGGCUCUCUGACUGACUCCUUCCCAGAUCUUCUCAGCUUAGCGGCUGAAGACUGACGCUGCCUGAUUGCCUCAGAAGCCCCCUAGACCAUCAAGGAUGCCGAUCUUCAGGGUCUCACAUUGUCACCCAGGCUGGAGGGCAGUGGCUUGAUCAUGGCUCACUGCAGCCUUGACUUCCCGGGCUCAAGUAAUCCUCUCUUCUCAGCCUCUCAAGUAGCUGGGACUAUAGGCACAUGCCACCACACCCAGCUAUUUCAGAUGGGAAAGCUGACACCAUGGUCAACAAUGAAGAAGCAUUUAUUAAUCGACUUGGGGUGGUCUGGCUUUUACAUUGAAGCCCUCCUCCUCCACCUCCUCCUCCUCCCUUUCUCUAUGCCUCUCCCAACCUCCAUCAUUUUCAAGAGUCUGAGAGGAUCUAUGGAAUCAGCAGAGCUGGAUGUCACCAGGGAGAUGGCACAGGAAGGAAGAAAGGCAUCUUGGGAAGUAUAUAAAGAAGUCGUUUCACAGCUUACAGAGGCACAACCACAAUUCUCCCUCAGACCUCAGACUUAGAACUUUGUGCCUGUGAAGUAUAAUAACCAUAGGAAAUUGUCAAAGGUUGUUACACUUUGCUAAGAAACCCUAGGUAAAUGCAUAAAGUCAAAAACAUUUGUAACUUGUAUGUAGAUUAGCCUAUUGGGUCAUUAAACAUAAUUUGUUAAUAUCAAAUAUAUAUGGCUAUAUAUAAAAUAAUGCUAUAUGCUAUAUAGGGCAUAUAUUUCUCUUUUGUUACAUCAUAAUCUCAAUUAUAAUAUGACAGUCUAUUAAAAAACAAUUUCCAAAUAGUGAACUAUAUAAGAUACAGAUUUCAUUCCAUAAUGAGCUUUAUUAUUUUCAUUUAACCCUUUUCUCAUCCUCAUGAUAUUCUGGCAUUGGAAUACGUGGAUUACUGCUGCAUGGUGUGGACUGUACGUUACUGUCAAGGCCAUUUAUUAAGAGGAAUUGAGAUUUGUGUUUAACUUGUUCAUCACUUAAACUUCCAGGGCCUAGCACACUGACUGGCACAGUAAGCAUUUC